UGCCAGCAGCCGCGGUAAUACGGGGGGGGCCAGCGUUAUUCGGAAUUACUGGGCGUAAAGGGCGCGUAGGCGGUCCGUUAAGUGAGAAGUGAAGGCCCUCAGCUCAACUGAGGAAUCGCUUCUCAUACUGGCGGACUAGAGAGUGGGAGAGGGGGACGGAAUUCCCGGUGUAGCGGUGAAAUGCGUAGAGAUCGGGAGGAACACCAGUGGCGAAGGGGUUCCCUGGACCACAACUGACGCUGAGGCGCGAAAGCGUGGGGAGCAAACAGGAUUAGAUA
Molecule: ribosomal RNA, 278 nt
Filed under: uncultured bacterium
Lineage: Bacteria
Description: partial 16S ribosomal RNA
Rfam family: Bacterial small subunit ribosomal RNA
Source: RNAcentral